GACGAACGCUGGCGGCGCGCCUAACACAUGCAAGUCGAACGAGCGAGAGAGAGCUUGCUUUCUCGAGCGAGUGGCGAACGGGUGAGUAACGCGUGAGGAACCUGCCUCAAAGAGGGGGACAACAGUUGGAAACGACUGCUAAUACCGCAUAAGCCCACGGUGCCGCAUGGCACAGAGGGAAAAGGAGCAAUCCGCUUUGAGAUGGCCUCGCGUCCGAUUAGCUAGUUGGUGAGGUAACGGCCCACCAAGGCAACGAUCGGUAGCCGGACUGAGAGGUUGAACGGCCACAUUGGGACUGAGACACGGCCCAGACUCCUACGGGAGGCAGCAGUGGGGAAUAUUGCACAAUGGGGGAAACCCUGAUGCAGCGACGCCGCGUGGAGGAAGAAGGUCUUCGGAUUGUAAACUCCUGUUGUUGGGGAAGAUAAUGACGGUACC
RNAcentral lists this ribosomal RNA (438 nucleotides) under uncultured bacterium. RNAcentral's name for it is "bacterial SSU rRNA". It matches the Rfam family "Bacterial small subunit ribosomal RNA", at positions 28 to 479 of the family's 1533-position model. The record is from RNAcentral.